Molecule: ribosomal RNA, 1500 nt
Filed under: Triticum aestivum (bread wheat)
Lineage: Eukaryota; Viridiplantae; Streptophyta; Magnoliopsida; Poales; Poaceae
Description: partial small subunit ribosomal RNA
Source: RNAcentral
AUGGACCAGAUGCACGGCGGUGGCGCCGGCAGGCGGGUGAAGGUGGUGGGGAAGGUAGAGAGGCUCGACGGGCAGUCGCUGACCUACUCCGAGUUCGUCGACCGCUUCAUGAAGCCGAACCUCCCCGUCGUCCUCACGGGCCUCACCUCCUCCUGGCCAUCCUGCGAGGACUGGACGUUCGCCGGCCCCGACGAUCGCCGCCGCCCCAACCUCCCCUUUUUCGCGCAAAACUUCUCCUCCCCUCGCGUUCAGGUUGCCGACUGUUCCGCCAGGGAGUACACUGACCACAAGCGGCUAGAGAUGUCCAUGCAGGAAUUCGUGGACCAUUGGGUUAGGAAUUCGAAUACUGUUUCAAGCAGCGGUCAUUGUGAAGCUUCCUCGCUUUAUCUGAAGGAUUGGCAUUUUGUUAAAGAGUACCCUGAUUAUGUCGCAUACACCACACCACCGUUCUUCGUCGAUGAUUGGCUCAACAUGUAUCUUGACAGUCAUCCCAUGCAUAGAGAUUCUGACAUUGCCAACCACAAAAAUGAAGUAAACUGUGCUGACUAUCGAUUUGUUUACAUUGGAGCAAAAGGAACUUGGACCCCUCUUCAUGCUGAUGUUUUUAGGUCAUACAGCUGGUCAGCAAAUGUGUGUGGGAGAAAACUAUGGCUCUUUCUGGCACCAUCGCAGAGUCAUCUUAUAUUUGAUAGGAACCUACGAUCAUCGGUUUAUGACAUAAAUGAAGAUGUUUCUGAAAAGCAGUUUCCUGAAUUCAAUAAGGCUGAAUGGAUAGAGUGUAUUCAAGAGCAGAAUGAAAUCAUUUUUGUGCCCAGUGGGUGGUACCACCAAGUCUAUAAUCUGGAGGAUACUAUAUCUAUCAACCAUAAUUGGUUCAAUGCCUACAACCUUCAUUGGGUGUGGAACUUGCUUCAUGAAGACCACAAAGUUGCAAAAGAGUAUAUUGAAGACAUCCGCGAUAUAUGUGAUAAUUUUGAGGCGCUUUGUCAACGCAACUUGGCGGCAAAUACAGGCAUGAACUUCCAUGAUUUCUUCAUUUUUAUCACACGGUUUGUUUUGGUCAAUGUAAUUGAGCUUUACCAUGUCCAAGAGCCCGAGGAUGCUAAAGUCAAUUUGCCAGAAGCCACUCACCAUUAUGUGUAUAACCUUAUGCAAAUUCGGGAAGUUGCAUCUAAAAUGAUUUCUGCAGAUGCUUUCAGUAUUGAGAAUCUUUGUGUUAUCUCGGAAGGAAAUCGGAGUGCUAUGUCAGAUGUUACAAAAAUAUUAAAAGACGAUGGCUUCAGAAGGCUAUGGAUGACAUUGUCCGAGGCGUAUGAAUGCAUUCGCAGGGGGCAAAGAAUUUUGUACGAAGUGAGAUAUUUAAAUCAGGAAGGCUGUUUGUCGGUGACCUGUUCGAAAUCUGAUUGUAAUGUUGUUGAUCGCAUUACAUUUUUUAUGCGUGAAAUUCAUGGACCUGAGGAUCUGGUGAGGUUAAUUGAUACUGCUCUACCCGAGAGAUAA